CGUGUAGGCGGGGAUUUAAGUAAGGUGUGAAAACUCCAGGCUCAACUUGGAGAUUGCACUUUAAACUGGAUCUCUUGAGGGCAGGAGAGGAAAGUGGAAUUCCUAGUGUAGCGGUGAAAUGCGUAGAUAUUAGGAGGAACACCAGUGGCGAAGGCGACUUUCUGGACUGUACCUGACGCUGAGGCGCGAAAGCGUGGGUAGCGAACA
RNAcentral lists this ribosomal RNA (207 nucleotides) under uncultured Bacillota bacterium. RNAcentral describes it as "uncultured Firmicutes bacterium partial 16S ribosomal RNA". It matches the Rfam family "Bacterial small subunit ribosomal RNA", at positions 568 to 774 of the family's 1533-position model. Lineage: Bacteria; Bacillati; Bacillota. The record is from RNAcentral.